UCUUUUUGUAAUUAUCACUUGUUUCUUCCUUUUUUUUUCUUUCUAAAAAGAUUCACCAAAUCCACCAUCUCAAUGACUCAAAUCUAAAAUCAGAUUUGAGAUGUAACCAAGAUUGAAAAUAAAUCAAACAAUAUAUUUGAAGAGAUCUAAUAAGAAACACUAAAAAUGAGAUUGGGAAGAUGAAGAUGAUGAUUAGAGAGUUGUGUUAGUGUUAUUGAGAAGAGGUUUAUGUAUUCUUCUUCUUCUUCUAUUCCCUGAUGUGGUUAUUGGUCUAUUUCUUCCCUUUUCUUCUAUUUUAAUAUGGAAUUCGAUCCCAAUCCAACAUUAUGGAGAAUUAGGUUUCAAGCAUGAACAAGGAGAAUUGGCAAGUUUUGAGGAAAAUGAAGAGCAUAGAUUUUGAGAAUUUUGAUUUCGAUUUUGGUUAAUGGUAUGAGAAAAAUCGAUUUACUGGUUUAUAUAUUUUGAUUUCUUAGCAAUAGAUAUCGAGAAUAUUGAUUUAUAGAUCUGGGAAAAUAUAUACAGAUUUUAGUUAAAGGUUUUAGUUGAAUAUUUUAUGGGUUUCAUAUAUGCAAUAUCUGCAUUUGUUUAGUUAUUUAUUUCAUUGAAUGCAUUUUAAUGUUUCUAGUUUUUAAUAUUAUUAUAGUUUUAAAAAAAAGUUAUUAUAAACAAAUUACAUUAAUAUCAUUAUUAU
This 691-nucleotide long non-coding RNA is filed under the name Lathyrus oleraceus (garden pea). RNAcentral's name for it is "Pisum sativum (pea) long non-coding RNA (PSAT_LNC009599)". Lineage: Eukaryota; Viridiplantae; Streptophyta; Magnoliopsida; Fabales; Fabaceae. The record is from RNAcentral.